Long non-coding RNA from Astatotilapia calliptera (eastern happy), 639 nucleotides. NCBI's taxonomy places the organism in Eukaryota, Metazoa, Chordata, Actinopteri, Cichliformes, Cichlidae. The record is from Ensembl.
GUGUCUAUGCAUAAGUGAGUGCAAACAUUUAAAUAUUGCUUGACUUCAACAGCAAAACUUACUGUUAACACUGUCUGUCUGGCUCUUUCUGUAAAUGCUGAAGAUGAUGAGUUCUCUAAGUCAGGUGUAAAUGUUGCUCCAACAUCUCUGAACUGCAACUGCUUUGUUGUAACAGCCUCAAUAGUUGUAGUUCUUACAGCUGUAGUGGUUGUAGGAGUAACUGUGGAUGCGUUUGUUGGGGUAGUGAUGAUUGGUGUUGUAGCAUUCACAGGUGUAGUUGAAGCUGUUGUAGAAACUGUAGUUGUAUUUGUUCCUGGUGUGGUGUUUGUAAGAUUUGCUGUGGUUGCGUUUGUAGGGGUAGUCAUCAUUGGUGUUGUAGCAUUCACAGGUGUAGUUGAAGCUGUUGUAGACACUGUAGUUGUAUUUGUUCCUGGUGUGGUGUUUGUAAGAUUUGCUGUGGUUGCGUUUGUAGGGGUAGUCAUCAUUGGUGUUGUAGCAUUCACAGGUGUAGUUGAAGCUGUUGUAGACACUGUACUUGUAUUUGUUCCUGGUGUGGUGUUUGUUAGAUUUGCUAUGGUUGCGUUUGUAGGGGUAGUCAUCAUUGGUGUUGUAGUGCUCACAGUUGUAGGUAAAACCACU